GUGCCAGCAGCCGCGGUAAUACGGAGGGUGCAAGCGUUAUCCGGAUUCACUGGGUUUAAAGGGUGCGUAGGCGGGCAAGUAAGUCAGUGGUGAAAUCUUCGAGCUUAACUCGGAAACUGCCAUUGAUACUAUUUGUCUUGAAUGUUCUGGAGGUGAGCGGAAUAUGUCAUGUAGCGGUGAAAUGCUUAGAUAUGACAUAGAACACCAAUUGCGUAGGCAGCUCACUACGGAAAUAUUGACGCUGAGGCACGAAAGCGUGAGGAUCAAACAGGAUUAGAUACCCUGGUAGUCC
Molecule: ribosomal RNA, 292 nt
Filed under: uncultured bacterium
Lineage: Bacteria
Description: partial 16S ribosomal RNA
Rfam family: Bacterial small subunit ribosomal RNA
Source: RNAcentral